Molecule: ribosomal RNA, 744 nt
Filed under: Salmonella enterica
Lineage: Bacteria; Pseudomonadati; Pseudomonadota; Gammaproteobacteria; Enterobacterales; Enterobacteriaceae
Also listed under: 1 other name
Description: partial 23S ribosomal RNA
Rfam family: Bacterial large subunit ribosomal RNA
Source: RNAcentral
CCUUGAAAUACCACCCUUUAAUGUUUGAUGUUCUAACGUGGACCCGUUACCCGGGUUGCGGACAGUGUCUGGUGGGUAGUUUGACUGGGGCGGUCUCCUCCUAAAGAGUAACGGAGGAGCACGAAGGUUGGCUAAUCCUGGUCGGACAUCAGGAGGUUAGUGCAAUGGCAUAAGCCAGCUUGACUGCGAGCGUGACGGCGCGAGCAGGUGCGAAAGCAGGUCAUAGUGAUCCGGUGGUUCUGAAUGGAAGGGCCAUCGCUCAACGGAUAAAAGGUACUCCGGGGAUAACAGGCUGAUACCGCCCAAGAGUUCAUAUCGACGGCGGUGUUUGGCACCUCGAUGUCGGCUCAUCACAUCCUGGGGCUGAAGUAGGUCCCAAGGGUAUGGCUGUUCGCCAUUUAAAGUGGUACGCGAGCUGGGUUUAGAACGUCGUGAGACAGUUCGGUCCCUAUCUGCCGUGGGCGCUGGAGAACUGAGGGGGGCUGCUCCUAGUACGAGAGGACCGGAGUGGACGCAUCACUGGUGUUCGGGUUGUCAUGCCAAUGGCACUGCCCGGUAGCUAAAUGCGGAAGAGAUAAGUGCUGAAAGCAUCUAAGCACGAAACUUGCCCCGAGAUGAGUUCUCCCUGAGACUUAGAGUCUCCUGAAGGAACGUUGAAGACGACGACGUUGAUAGGCCGGGUGUGUAAGCGCAGCGAUGCGUUGAGCUAACCGGUACUAAUGAACCGUGAGGCUUAACCUUACA